RNAcentral lists this long non-coding RNA (1754 nucleotides) under Sus scrofa (pig). Lineage: Eukaryota; Metazoa; Chordata; Mammalia; Artiodactyla; Suidae. The record is from RNAcentral.
GUAAAAUGACAAGCAUAUGCCUGAACUCAAAAAAGUGAUGUCAUCUUAACUACUGAGAAGUGGGCGGGGAGUACUCGAGGCUUUUUAAUGGUUGUUCUUAAGUACAUUAAAUGCCUCCCUUUUCUGUCUUCAGCUCAUCACCAAUCCUAAGGAAUUCAAGUGCCUCCCAGGAUGAAUACAGGUUGUCUUGAUGGUGAUACAUUCAUCUGUCUUAAGAUCCCUGCUGAUCUGCUCAUGGUCAAACUCCUGGAAAGAGUUGAGAGUGGUGAGUACUUGUAACCUUGGUUGUAACUUGUCUCCAGUGCCAGUGAGGAGAGCAAGCAUCCUGUCUUAACCCCUGUCCUAGCCCCAGAGCCAGAAAUGGUGAACCCACUGGGGCUAACAGGGAGAGAGGAUGAAAACAUGUUCCGUAAGGAACUGUCUGAGGUACAGCAACUGCCAAUGGGUAGCAUUCGUUUAGCUUCCCUUGGCUUACAUAUUAGCUGGGAUCCUUUUGGUUUUUUAAGGUACUCUACUGAUUUCAUGAUCUUCUCAUUCAGGGGCACCUUGUUCCUGCAUCCUCAAAGGAGCAUCUUGUUCCUCCAUUUAAGCUUCCAGAGUUAAAAGGUUAGUUGAUUAAUGUCACCAUAAUAUAUGCCACCAAGUAAGCAGUUUCUGUGAUGAAUCAAACUAGCUCACUAUGAACUAACAAUGAAAAGAUAUGAACACCUGAGAAACUGGAGAACAGAGCAGUGGGAUACUGUCUGCUAGGAACUUAAUAUCACUUACAGUUUUGUCCUUUCCUAGGUACCUGUACCAUUUAGCGGCUUGUUCACUCAAAGGUGAGUGAUUUAUAUGUUGGUGCAUACCGUGUACUGAGGGAGAAAAUGCCUUUUUAGGCAUCUACACAUGAUGACUUACAUGGAAUCUCGUUCGGCUGAUGAUUUGCUGUUGAGACUCGGAAAUCUGAUUUUUUUUUUCUUUUAAGAACUUAAGUGGGAACAAAUUUUAAUGUAGGAAGUAAGCAUUACUGACUCAUUCUUGUUUUGUUUUAGAUCCAUCUUGUCUGGAGCCUGAGGAUGAUUGGAGGUAAAUCUGUUUAUCUAUGGCUGCUAUGUAAAGUUUGCCAGUUUUUGUGUGGCACUUUGGAUAGUUGUGCAGGUAUUACUUAAUCCAAAGUCUGCCUUUGGCCAUUUGUGAACCACCUGAAACAGAUUUCUGCUCACAUGAUGAGUUCGAUACCGCCCCAGUCUGAUCACUAUGACUGAAAGGUAUUUUCUGAGCUGUGAGUUUGCCUUAGAGUGGGAAGUUAGUCUUUUAAUAAAAUGUCUGUUGAGACCUACACAGCCUAUUAGGGUGUCCCAUUCCUCUGGUAAUGGUUGACUUAGUUCCCAAUCUCUGUUUUGCAGGUGAAAGGUGUAAGCCAUACUCUGCUCAACUCCAGUCUGAAACUGAGGUUUAAAGAACACAUACUUAACACACGGGUGGGUAAGUAUCCAUUCACGUACUUGUGUUAAAUAUCAGACUAACUAUAUAAAUACAAAAGUACAUUAGAGCAGCCCUUUUAGUGUUAACUGGUUGAAAGGAUAGUAUGUUCUAAGUCCGUUUUAGUAACUAAGUCCGUUUUAGUAAGAACCCUAAACUGUUCUUUUUCUCUGCAGGAAUCCAACUCUUGGAGGACAUCAGAAGUGGAAUUUUCUUAUACAACCUACCUAUUCAAAUUAGCAUAUAAUCUUUCUAGCCUUUCUAAAUAAAUAAAGGGAUUUUUUUGUAAA